Molecule: long non-coding RNA, 308 nt
Filed under: Hordeum vulgare
Lineage: Eukaryota; Viridiplantae; Streptophyta; Magnoliopsida; Poales; Poaceae
Description: long non-coding RNA (HVUL_LNC004422)
Source: RNAcentral
CUAUAUGCAUGUUGCGUGCGCGUGUGACCGUUUCCUAUGUGUGGUCGAGAGUUGUCUUCUCCAUGUGGAAAUCGACAUGUUCGUCUUCAUUUAUGUGGCCACUGGCUUCCCUCGAAAGAACAAAUGUGUGGCCACUCGCUUUCCUCAAAACAACAAAUGUGUGGCCACUGGCCUUUCAUGCAUAUGCCUUGUUUGGAUACUCUAACCUGCUUAGAGUUAGAGGUUAUAGUUAGUUCAGGUUAGUUCAAGGGUUAGAAUCUAACUUUAACUCUAAAGGUGUUUGAAUGAGAGGGUUAGAUUGAUAAUAA